This 523-nucleotide ribosomal RNA is filed under the name uncultured bacterium. RNAcentral's name for it is "bacterial SSU rRNA". It matches the Rfam family "Bacterial small subunit ribosomal RNA", at positions 26 to 518 of the family's 1533-position model. The record is from RNAcentral.
CGAGGACGAACGCUGGCGGCGUGCCUAAUACAUGCAAGUCGAACGGUCUUUCUAUGGAAGCUUGCUUCCACUGAGAAGAUAGUGGCGAACGGGUGAGUAACACGUGGGUAACCUGCCCAUAAGAGGGGGGAUAACAUCCGGAAACGGGUGCUAAUACCGCAUAGUUUUCUUGAUCGCAUGAUCGGGAAAGGAAAGACGGCCUUUGUGCUGUCGCUUAUGGAUGGACCCGCGGCGUAUUAGUUAGUUGGUGAGGUAACGGCUCACCAAGACGAUGAUACGUAGCCGACCUGAGAGGGUGAUCGGCCACAUUGGGACUGAGACACGGCCCAAACUCCUACGGGAGGCAGCAGUAGGGAAUCUUCCGCAAUGGACGAAAGUCUGACGGAGCAACGCCGCGUGAGUGAAGAAAGGGUUUUCGGAUCGUAAAACUCUGUUGUCAGAGAAGAACAAGUUGGAGAGUAACUGCUCCAGCCUUGACGGUAUCUGACCAGAAAGCCACGGCUAACUACGUGCCAGCAGCCGC